RNAcentral lists this ribosomal RNA (1359 nucleotides) under uncultured bacterium. RNAcentral describes it as "16S ribosomal RNA". It matches the Rfam family "Bacterial small subunit ribosomal RNA", at positions 28 to 1380 of the family's 1533-position model. The record is from RNAcentral.
GAUGAACGCUAGCUACAGGCUUAACACAUGCAAGUCGAGGGGCAUCAGGAAGAAAGCUAGCUUUCUUUGCUGGCGACCGGCGCACGGGUGAGUAACACGUAUCCAACCUGCCCUUUACUCGGGGAUAGCCUUUCGAAAGAAAGAUUAAUACCCGAUAGCAUAAUGAUUCCGCAUGGUUUCAUUAUUAAAGGAUUCCGGUAAAGGAUGGGGAUGCGUUCCAUUAGGUUGUUGGUGGGGUAACGGCCCACCAAGCCUUCGAUGGAUAGGGGUUCUGAGAGGAAGGUCCCCCACAUUGGAACUGAGACACGGUCCAAACUCCUACGGGAGGCAGCAGUGAGGAAUAUUGGUCAAUGGGCGCUAGCCUGAACCAGCCAAGUAGCGUGAAGGAUGAAGGCUCUAUGGGUCGUAAACUUCUUUUAUAUAAGAAUAAAGUGCAGUAUGUAUACUGUUUUGUAUGUAUUAUAUGAAUAAGGAUCGGCUAACUCCGUGCCAGCAGCCGCGGUAAUACGGAGGAUCCGAGCGUUAUCCGGAUUUAUUGGGUUUAAAGGGAGCGUAGGUGGACUGGUAAGUCAGUUGUGAAAGUUUGCGGCUCAACCGUAAAAUUGCAGUUGAUACUGUCAGUCUUGAGUACAGUAGAGGUGGGCGGAAUUCGUGGUGUAGCGGUGAAAUGCUUAGAUAUCACGAAGAACUCCGAUUGCGAAGGCAGCUCACUGGACUGCAACUGACACUGAUGCUCGAAAGUGUGGGUAUCAAACAGGAUUAGAUACCCUGGUAGUCCACACAGUAAACGAUGAAUACUCGCUGUUUGCGAUAUACAGUAAGCGGCCAAGCGAAAGCAUUAAGUAUUCCACCUGGGGAGUACGCCGGCAACGGUGAAACUCAAAGGAAUUGACGGGGGCCCGCACAAGCGGAGGAACAUGUGGUUUAAUUCGAUGACACGCGAGGAACCUUACCCGGGCUUAAAUUGCAGUGGAAUGAUGUGGAAACAUGUCAGUGAGCAAUCACCGCUGUGAAGGUGCUGCAUGGUUGUCGUCAGCUCGUGCCGUGAGGUGUCGGCUUAAGUGCCAUAACGAGCGCAACCCUUAUCUUCAGUUACUAACAGGUCAUGCUGAGGACUCUGGAGAGACUGCCGUCGUAAGAUGUGAGGAAGGUGGGGAUGACGUCAAAUCAGCACGGCCCUUACGUCCGGGGCUACACACGUGUUACAAUGGGGGGUACAGAAGGCAGCUAGCGGGUGACCGUAUGCUAAUCCCAAAAGCCUCUCUCAGUUCGGAUCGAAGUCUGCAACCCGACUUCGUGAAGCUGGAUUCGCUAGUAAUCGCGCAUCAGCCACGGCGCGGUGAAAUACGUUCCCGGGCC